RNAcentral lists this ribosomal RNA (740 nucleotides) under uncultured Staphylococcus sp. RNAcentral describes it as "bacterial SSU rRNA". It matches the Rfam family "Bacterial small subunit ribosomal RNA", at positions 58 to 780 of the family's 1533-position model. Lineage: Bacteria; Bacillati; Bacillota; Bacilli; Caryophanales; Staphylococcaceae. The record is from RNAcentral.
CAAGUCGAGCGAACGGACGAGAAGCUUGCUUCUCUGAUGUUAGCGGCGGACGGGUGAGUAACACGUGGAUAACCUACCUAUAAGACUGGGAUAACUUCGGGAAACCGGAGCUAAUACCGGAUAAUAUUUUGAACCGCAUGAUUCAAAAGUGAAAGACGGUCUUGCUGUCACUUAUAGAUGGAUCCGCGCUGCAUUAGCUAGUUGGUAAGGUAACGGCUUACCAAGGCAACGAUGCAUAGCCGACCUGAGAGGGUGAUCGGCCACACUGGAACUGAGACACGGUCCAGACUCCUACGGGAGGCAGCAGUAGGGAAUCUUCCGCAAUGGGCGAAAGCCUGACGGAGCAACGCCGCGUGAGUGAUGAAGGUCUUCGGAUCGUAAAACUCUGUUAUUAGGGAAGAACAUAUGUGUAGGUAACUGUGCACAUCUUGACGGUACCUAAUCAGAAAGCCACGGCUAACUACGUGCCAGCAGCCGCGGUAAUACGUAGGUGGCAAGCGUUAUCCGGAAUUAUUGGGCGUAAAGCGCGCGUAGGCGGUUUUUUAAGUCUGAUGUGAAAGCCCACGGCUCAACCGUGGAGGGUCAUUGGAAACUGGAAAACUUGAGUGCAGAAGAGGAAAGUGGAAUUCCAUGUGUAGCGGUGAAAUGCGCAGAGAUAUGGAGGAACACCAGUGGCGAAGGCGACUUUCUGGUCUGUAACUGACGCUGAUGUGCGAAAGCGUGGGGAUCAAACAGGAUUA